CUGUAUAAAAUACAUAUGCCACAUUGCGUGAAAUAUAAUAAUGUAUAUAUAUGUUCACACGUAUAUUAUAUUAUAUUAUUAACGCAUAUGACGGUUCCGUGAUAUUGGAUACACACGCACGCUUGUCGUGUAUCGUAUAUCCUAUAUAUUGCGGUCCGUUUAAAUAUUGUCUAACGACACACGUUGAUUAUAAUUUAUAUAUCAUACGACAAUGUUAGAGAUUAUUAUAAUAUUUGUCGAACGAUCGACGGUGUUACCGCUGAUGCGCUUUACCGCGUAAGGUGGGACGCUUUCGACUCUUCGAGUUGGAGUGUUAUUGUAACAAUAUCACACAUACAAGAGGGUUGAUGGCGUGUGCAUGUUUUUUUUUUUUUAAAUUAAACAAGUUCAACACCGUACACAUGUCGCGAGACACGUAAAUAUUAACAAAUCUCUAUAUGACAAUUGACGUAUACACAAUGAUAUGUAAGCCUUAAAGAUCAUCGACAGUAGGCGGACUCGACGUCCGAAGAGCGCAUCGACGCCGUCGUCGUUAUCGAUCGUUAUUAUUGUAAAAAAUGUAACGUGUCGUAGCGGUUGCGUCGUCGUAACGCUGACGGAUAUCGCGUCUGCCUCAUUUUUUUAUCGUUGGCCUCAGAUCAGGGAGGAUCACCCGCCGAAUUUAAGCAUAUUAGUAAGCGGAGGAAAAGAAACUAACUAGGAUUUCCUUAGUAGCGGCGAGCGAACAGGAAAGAAGCCCAGCACUGAAUCCCGCCGUUGUUCAGGCGGCGGGAGAUGUGGUGUUCGGGAGGUUCCGCUUUCUCGUCGCGAUCGCUCCUGUCCAAGUUCGUCUUGAACGGGGCCGUUUUCCCGUAGAGGGUGCCAGGCCCGUAGCGACGGAGGAUCGCGGCGAGAGGGACUCUCCUUAGAGUCGGGUUGCUUGAGAGUGCAGCCCUAAGUGGGUGGUAA
This 948-nucleotide small RNA is filed under the name Catocala alabamae. Its description in RNAcentral is "eukaryotic LSU rRNA". The stretch from base 629 to 948 matches the Rfam family "Eukaryotic large subunit ribosomal RNA", at positions 1 to 302 of the family's 3401-position model. Lineage: Eukaryota; Metazoa; Arthropoda; Insecta; Lepidoptera; Erebidae. The record is from RNAcentral.